CAGCCGCCGCGGGAAUACGAAGGGUGCAAGCGUUAAUCGGAAUUACUGGGCGUAAAGGGAGCGUAGGCGGACAUUUAAGUCAGGGGUGAAAUCCCGGGGCUCAACCUCGGAAUUGCCUUUGAUACUGGGUGUCUUGAGUAUGAGAGAGGUAUGUGGAACUCCGAGUGUAGAGGUGAAAUUCGUAGAUAUUCGGAAGAACACCAGUGGCGAAGGCGACAUACUGGCCCAUUACUGACGCUGAGGCUCGAAAGCGUGGGGAGCAAACAGGAUUAGAUACCCCGGUAGUCCUGCUCUUAUACAC
Molecule: ribosomal RNA, 301 nt
Filed under: uncultured bacterium
Lineage: Bacteria
Description: partial 16S ribosomal RNA
Rfam family: Bacterial small subunit ribosomal RNA
Source: RNAcentral